UAGGGAAUCUUCGGCAAUGGACGAAAGUCUGACCGAGCAACGCCGCGUGAGUGAAGAAGGUUUUCGGAUCGUAAAACUCUGUUGUUAGAGAAGAACAAGGACGUUAGUAACUGAACGUCCCCUGACGGUAUCUAACCAGAAAGCUACGGCUAACUACGUGCCAGCAGCCGCGGUAAUACGUAGGUGGCAAGCGUUGUCCGGAUUUAUUGGGCGUAAAGCGAGCGCAGGCGGUUUCUUAAGUCUGAUGUGAAAGCCCCCGGCUCAACCGGGGAGGGUCAUUGGAAACUGGGCGACUUGAGUGCAGAAGAGGAGAGUGGAAUUCCAUGUGUAGCGGUGAAAUGCGUAGAUAUAUGGAGGAACACCAGUGGCGAAGGCGGCUCUCUGGUCUGUAACUGACGCUGAGGCUCGAAAGCGUGGGGAGCAAACAGG
This 429-nucleotide ribosomal RNA is filed under the name Gemmatimonadota bacterium. RNAcentral describes it as "Gemmatimonadetes bacterium partial 16S ribosomal RNA". It matches the Rfam family "Bacterial small subunit ribosomal RNA", at positions 355 to 776 of the family's 1533-position model. Lineage: Bacteria; Pseudomonadati; Gemmatimonadota. The record is from RNAcentral.